CUGCCUACGGGAGGCAGCAGUGAGGAAUAUUGGUCAAUGGACGCAAGUCUGAACCAGCCAUGCCGCGUGCAGGAAGACGGCUCUAUGAGUUGUAAACUGCUUUUGUACGAGGGUAAACGCAGAUACGCGUAUCUGUCUGAAAGUAUCGUACGAAUAAGGAUCGGCUAACUCCGUGCCAGCAGCCGCGGUAAUACGGAGGAUUCAAGCGUUAUCCGGAUUUAUUGGGUUUAAAGGGUGCGUAGGCGGAAUGCCAAGUCAGCGGUAAAAUCGCGGGGCUCAACCUCGCUCCGCCGUUGAAACUGGCG
Molecule: ribosomal RNA, 305 nt
Filed under: uncultured bacterium
Lineage: Bacteria
Description: bacterial SSU rRNA
Rfam family: Bacterial small subunit ribosomal RNA
Source: RNAcentral